GACGAACGCUGGCGGCGUGCUUAACACAUGCAAGUCGAGCGGUAAGGCCCUUCGGGGUACGACGAGCGGCGAACGGGUGAGUAACACGUGGGUGACCUCGCCCUCAGCUCUGGGGAUAAGCCUGGGAAACCGGGUCUAAUACUGGAUAUUGACUCCAUGACGCAUGUUGUGGGGUGGAAAGCCUUGUGCGGCUGAGGAUGGGCCCGCGGCCUAUCAGCUUGUUGGUGGGGUGAGGCCUACCAAGGCGACGACGGGUAGCCGGCCUGAGAGGG
Molecule: ribosomal RNA, 272 nt
Filed under: uncultured bacterium
Lineage: Bacteria
Description: partial 16S ribosomal RNA
Rfam family: Bacterial small subunit ribosomal RNA
Source: RNAcentral